AACUGUGAUUUGUCGCAGUUAAGAGUCGCAGUUAAGGAACAUAGUUCGUGUAUCCCUCCGCCACUGCUAUUUCUGCGAUUUCUGCUACUUCCGCGAUUUCUGCUACUUCUGCGAUUUCUGUGACUUCUGCUACUUCUGCGAUUUCUGUGAUUCCUGCGACUUACCACCGUAUGAAAAAGUUACAUCUGUCAACACAGAAAAUUGCAUCUCAACAAACCUGUCAUUGGCAAGUACCUGAACUACAUUUCAGUCACUCAGUAAAGUGAUAACUCAAAAUAUCAUUGUCAACAGAUCUGAAGAAAUUGCCACAGCGUCUUUAGACCGUUUUCGUCAGACGAGAGACACAGUUCUGACUCUGAUUACUGGUUGCUGUACGUAUCUAUCCACAUCAAGGCUGUUUUUGAGAGAGACUCUUGAAGAUCCAAGACAGCUCUUAGACGAUUUGCAGUUUAAAAGUGAAAUAAUUGUGAAAUAAGUGUGUGAAUGAUUAAACUGUGUUUUAUUGAAGUUGUUGUGCGAUUUUAAAGGAAUAAUAAAUGUCAAA
Long non-coding RNA from Schistocerca cancellata (South American locust), 544 nucleotides. RefSeq lists it as uncharacterized. The record is from RefSeq and is a predicted model, not a curated record. The transcript is spliced from 3 exons. NCBI's taxonomy places the organism in Eukaryota, Metazoa, Arthropoda, Insecta, Orthoptera, Acrididae.